RNAcentral lists this ribosomal RNA (931 nucleotides) under uncultured Sphingobacteriaceae bacterium. RNAcentral's name for it is "bacterial SSU rRNA". It matches the Rfam family "Bacterial small subunit ribosomal RNA", at positions 56 to 988 of the family's 1533-position model. The record is from RNAcentral. Lineage: Bacteria; Pseudomonadati; Bacteroidota; Sphingobacteriia; Sphingobacteriales; Sphingobacteriaceae.
UGCAAGUCGGACGGGAUUGGGGAGCUUGCUCCCCAUGAGAGUGGCGCACGGGUGCGUAACGCGUAUGCAACCUACCUUUACCUGGGGGAUAGCCUCUCGAAAGAGAGAUUAACACCGCAUAAGACCCCGGCACGGCAUCGUGCAGAGGUCAAAUAUUUAUAGGGCAAAGAUGGGCAUGCGUGACAUUAGCUAGUUGGUAAGGUAACGGCUUACCAAGGCUACGAUGUCUAGGGGAUCUGAGAGGAUGGCCCCCCACACUGGUACUGAGACACGGACCAGACUCCUACGGGAGGCAGCAGUAAGGAAUAUUGGUCAAUGGGCGCAAGCCUGAACCAGCCAUGCCGCGUGCAGGAAGACAGCCCUACGGGUCGUAAACUGCUUUUGUACCGGAACAAACCCCUUUACGUGUAAAGGGCUGAGCGUACGGUAAGAAUAAGGAUCGGCUAACUCCGUGCCAGCAGCCGCGGUAAUACGGAGGAUCCAAGCGUUAUCCGGAUUUAUUGGGUUUAAAGGGUGCGUAGGCGGCCUGUUAAGUCAGGGGUGAAAGACGGUAGCUCAACUAUCGCAGUGCCCUUGAUACUGAUGGGCUUGAAUAGACUAGAGGCAGGCGGAAUGAGGCAAGUAGCGGUGAAAUGCAUAGAUAUGCCUCAGAACACCGAUUGCGAAGGCAGCUUGCUAUGGUCUUAUUGACGCUGAGGCACGAAAGCGUGGGGAUCAAACAGGAUUAGAUACCCUGGUAGUCCACGCCCUAAACGAUGAAUACUCGAUGUUAGCGAUAUACAGUUAGCGUCUAAGCGAAAGCGUUAAGUAUUCCACCUGGGGAGUACGCCCGCAAGGGUGAAACUCAAAGGAAUUGACGGGGCCCCCCCAAGCGGAGGAGCAUGUGGUUUAAUUCGAUGAUACCCGAGGAACCUUACCCGGGCUUGAAAGU